Molecule: ribosomal RNA, 1712 nt
Filed under: Escherichia coli
Lineage: Bacteria; Pseudomonadati; Pseudomonadota; Gammaproteobacteria; Enterobacterales; Enterobacteriaceae
Description: partial 23S ribosomal RNA
Rfam family: Bacterial large subunit ribosomal RNA
Source: RNAcentral
GUGUGAUUCGUCACACUAUCAUUAACUGAAUCCAUAGGUUAAUGAGGCGAACCGGGGGAACUGAAACAUCUAAGUACCCCGAGGAAAAGAAAUCAACCGAGAUUCCCCCAGUAGCGGCGAGCGAACGGGGAGCAGCCCAGAGCCUGAAUCAGUGUGUGUGUUAGUGGAAGCGUCUGGAAAGGCGCGUGAUACAGGGUGACAGCCCCGUACACAAAAAUGCACAUGCUGUGAGCUCGAUGAGUAGGGCGGGACACGUGGUAUCCUGUCUGAAUAUGGGGGGACCAUCCUCCAAGGCUAAAUACUCCUGACUGACCGAUAGUGAACCAGUACCGUGAGGGAAAGGCGAAAAGAACCCCGGCGAGGGGAGUGAAAAAGAACCUGAAACCGUGUACGUACAAGCAGUGGGAGCACGCUUAGGCGUGUGACUGCGUACCUUUUGUAUAAUGGGUCAGCGACUUAUAUUCUGUAGCAAGGUUAACCGAAUAGGGGAGCCGAAGGGAAACCGAGUCUUAACUGGGCGUUAAGUUGCAGGGUAUAGACCCGAAACCCGGUGAUCUAGCCAUGGGCAGGUUGAAGGUUGGGUAACACUAACUGGAGGACCGAACCGACUAAUGUUGAAAAAUUAGCGGAUGACUUGUGGCUGGGGGUGAAAGGCCAAUCAAACCGGGAGAUAGCUGGUUCUCCCCGAAAGCUAUUUAGGUAGCGCCUCGUGAAUUCAUCUCCGGGGGUAGAGCACUGUUUCGGCAAGGGGGUCAUCCCGACUUACCAACCCGAUGCAAACUGCGAAUACCGGAGAAUGUUAUCACGGGAGACACACGGCGGGUGCUAACGUCCGUCGUGAAGAGGGAAACAACCCAGACCGCCAGCUAAGGUCCCAAAGUCAUGGUUAAGUGGGAAACGAUGUGGGAAGGCCCAGACAGCCAGGAUGUUGGCUUAGAAGCAGCCAUCAUUUAAAGAAAGCGUAAUAGCUCACUGGUCGAGUCGGCCUGCGCGGAAGAUGUAACGGGGCUAAACCAUGCACCGAAGCUGCGGCAGCGACGCUUAUGCGUUGUUGGGUAGGGGAGCGUUCUGUAAGCCUGUGAAGGUGUACUGUGAGGUAUGCUGGAGGUAUCAGAAGUGCGAAUGCUGACAUAAGUAACGAUAAAGCGGGUGAAAAGCCCGCUCGCCGGAAGACCAAGGGUUCCUGUCCAACGUUAAUCGGGGCAGGGUGAGUCGACCCCUAAGGCGAGGCCGAAAGGCGUAGUCGAUGGGAAACAGGUUAAUAUUCCUGUACUUGGUGUUACUGCGAAGGGGGGACGGAGAAGGCUAUGUUGGCCGGGCGACGGUUGUCCCGGUUUAAGCGUGUAGGCUGGUUUUCCAGGCAAAUCCGGAAAAUCAAGGCUGAGGCGUGAUGACGAGGCACUACGGUGCUGAAGCAACAAAUGCCCUGCUUCCAGGAAAAGCCUCUAAGCAUCAGGUAACAUCAAAUCGUACCCCAAACCGACACAGGUGGUCAGGUAGAGAAUACCAAGGCGCUUGAGAGAACUCGGGUGAAGGAACUAGGCAAAAUGGUGCCGUAACUUCGGGAGAAGGCACGCUGAUAUGUAGGUGAAGUCCCUCGCGGAUGGAGCUGAAAUCAGUCGAAGAUACCAGCUGGCUGCAACUGUUUAUUAAAAACACAGCACUGUGCAAACACGAAAGUGGACGUAUACGGUGUGACGCCUGCCCGGUGC